This 253-nucleotide ribosomal RNA is filed under the name uncultured prokaryote. RNAcentral's name for it is "partial 16S ribosomal RNA". It matches the Rfam family "Bacterial small subunit ribosomal RNA", at positions 524 to 776 of the family's 1533-position model. The record is from RNAcentral.
UACAGAGGGUGCGAGCGUUAAUCGGAAUUACUGGGCGUAAAGCGUGCGCGGGCGGCUUUGCAAGACAGAUGUGAAAUCCCCGGGCUUAACCUGGGAACUGCAUUUGUGACUGCAUGGCUGGAGUGCGGCAGAGGGGGAUGGAAUUCCGCGUGUAGCAGUGAAAUGCGUAGAGAUGUGGAGGAACACCGAUGGCGAAGGCAGCCCCCUGGGUCAAAACUGACGCUCAUGCACGAAAGCGUGGGGAGCAAACAGG